AGGGUUUGAUCAUGGCUCAGAUUGAACGCUGGCGGUAUGCUUAACACAUGCAAGUCGAACGGAAACGAAACUAGCUUGCUAGUAGGCGUCGAGUGGCGGACGGGUGAGUAACGCGUAGGAAUCUGCCUGAUAGUGGGGGAUAGCCCGAAGAAAUUCGGAUUAAUACCGCAUAAUCUAUUCGUAGUAAAGUGGGGGACUUUCGAGCCUCACGCUAUCAGAUGAGCCUGCGUAAGAUUAGCUUGUUGGUAGGGUAAAAGCCUACCAAGGCAACGAUCUUUAGCUGGUCUGAGAGGAUGAUCAGCCACAUCGGGACUGAGACACGGCCCGAACUCCUACGGGAGGCAGCAGUGGGGAAUAUUGGACAAUGGGGGCAACCCUGAUCCAGCAAUACCGCGUGUGUGAAGAAGGCCUGAGGGUUGUAAAGCACUUUCAAUUGUGAAGAAAAGUUAACGGUUAGUAACCGUUGACCUUGACGUUAACUUUAGAAGAAGCACCGGCUAACUCCGUGCCAGCAGCCGCGGUAAUACGGAGGGUGCAAGCGUUAAUCGGAAUUACUGGGCGUAAAGCGUGCGUAGGCGGUUUAUUAAGUCAGAUGUGAAAGCCCCGGGCUUAACCUGGGAACUGCAUUUGAAACUGGUCAACUAGAGUAUGGUAGAGGAAAGUGGAAUUUCUGGUGUAGCGGUGAAAUGCGUAGAUAUCAGAAGGAAC
RNAcentral lists this ribosomal RNA (708 nucleotides) under uncultured bacterium. RNAcentral describes it as "bacterial SSU rRNA". It matches the Rfam family "Bacterial small subunit ribosomal RNA", at positions 8 to 707 of the family's 1533-position model. The record is from RNAcentral.